Sapajus apella (tufted capuchin) is the source of this 170-nucleotide long non-coding RNA. RefSeq lists it as uncharacterized. The transcript is spliced from 3 exons. The record is from RefSeq and is a predicted model, not a curated record. NCBI's taxonomy places the organism in Eukaryota, Metazoa, Chordata, Mammalia, Primates, Cebidae.
GUUUAAGCGAUUCUCCUGCCUCAGCUUCCCGAGUAGCUGGGAUGACAGGCAUGCACUGCCAUGCCCAGCUAAUUUUUGUAUUUUUAGUAGAGACAGGAUUUCACCAUGUAGGCCAGGAUGGCCUGUAUCUCUUGAUCUCCUGCCUUGUGAUCUGCCCGCCUUGGCUUCCC